Molecule: non-coding RNA, 21 nt
Filed under: Arabidopsis thaliana (thale cress)
Lineage: Eukaryota; Viridiplantae; Streptophyta; Magnoliopsida; Brassicales; Brassicaceae
Source: RNAcentral
UUGACAGGACGUUACUUAAUA